AUUGAACGCUGGCGGCAGGCCUAACACAUGCAAGUCGAGCGGAUGAAGGGAGCUUGCUCCUGGAUUCAGCGGCGGACGGGUGAGUAAUGCCUAGGAAUCUGCCUGGUAGUGGGGGAUAACGUCCGGAAACGGGCGCUAAUACCGCAUACGUCCUGAGGGAGAAAGUGGGGGAUCUUCGGACCUCACGCUAUCAGAUGAGCCUAGGUCGGAUUAGCUAGUUGGUGGGGUAAAGGCCUACCAAGGCGACGAUCCGUAACUGGUCUGAGAGGAUGAUCAGUCACAUGGGAACUGAGACAGGGUCCAGGCUCCUAAGGGAGGCAGCAGAGGGGAAUAUUGGACAAUGGGGGAAAGCCUGGUCCAGCCGUGCCGCGUGUGUGAAGAAGGUCUUCGGAUUGUAAAGCACGUUAAGUUGGGAGGAAGGGCAGUAAGUUAAUACCUUGCUGUUUUGACGUUACCAACAGAAUAAGCACCGGCUAACUUCGUG
Molecule: ribosomal RNA, 484 nt
Filed under: uncultured bacterium
Lineage: Bacteria
Description: partial 16S ribosomal RNA
Rfam family: Bacterial small subunit ribosomal RNA
Source: RNAcentral